Molecule: long non-coding RNA, 2144 nt
Organism: Malaclemys terrapin pileata
Lineage: Eukaryota; Metazoa; Chordata; Testudines; Emydidae
Exons: 2
Source: RefSeq, a predicted model, not a curated record
CCUACUGCAGGGUUUCUCACAUCUUCUUCUGAAGCAUCUAGUGCUGACCACUGUCGGGGGCAGGAUAUGGAAUGAAAUUGACCAUGAAUCUUUCUGAUCUAGUGUGUCAAUUCUUAAAUAAUCCUUAAAGAAAUACAAUAUAUAUAUAUAGAGAGAGAGAGUCUGUAAAGCAUCUUGUAAUCUGGUCCUUCUUGUUGAAAAGUAUAAAAGCAAGGCAAAUGAAUGAGCUAGAACAAGAUGACAGAAGGAAGAUGAUGAACACAAGUCUAUAUCUGCCAAGAAUGAGCAGCAUCCAUACUUUUGUUCCUGAAAAACACGGAAGAACUCAGACAAAAAAUUACCCCUUCCACAGGUGACAACCGUGUAAACAGUAUUAUCUCCAUCUACCACAUCAUCAGACCAGACCACAUGCACGUAAAAGGAUGUGUUAUCAAAAUAUCUAUAAUGGUGACCUUAAAAAAAGCGAACAAGAAAUGCUAAUGGUUUUCUUGUUAUUUUAGAAAGGGACUUUUUUCUUCUCCGUUAGAACAGAGAGCUUCCUGGAGCAAAAACAAAUGAAGCUGCUGUCUUUAUAUAUUAGUUAAAGAACGAUUUAGCAAAGUUUCUAUCAUUUCUAUUCAGUUUUUCAAUUAAUGAGAAUUAACAAACAGUACUACUACUUAAAACUUUUAGCAUUGUGCAUGUUCAAAGGCUGCAGCAUCAUUAAUAAAGACAAUGUUCAAACACCCCAUUGAAGAAGAUAAGGAUUAUUAGCAUCAUUUUACAGAUGGGGGAAAAUGAGGCAGAGAAGUGACUUGGUCAAGGUCACAUAGUAAGUCAGUGGAAGAGCCACUAUUAGAAUUCAGGAGUUUUAACUCUCUUUUCUGGGCUUGUUCUUUUACAUCUUGUUGCCUCUUGGUGGCAGAAGCUGCUCCUUAUUCUCAGGUGUUCCACUUUCUAGCUCCUUCUGUUCCCUUAUUGCAUUCCAGUGUUUAUUUUUAAUCUUUCAAGAAUGAGUUUGGGACUGGUCAGUGCUUGGAUGGGGCACCUCAAAGGAAAAUUCAGGUGCUGCUGGGAGUCAUAUUGAGGCAUUGUCCCCUGUUAAUCAGUACUGUUGCUAGGUGAUGCUGUGCUACUGAAAAUGCCGUGUCUCAGAGAUGAUAAAAAAAAAUGAAGGCUUGACUAUAUGUGCUCAUUAUAUUUGCCGUGAUUCUUUUCACAGAGAGUGGGUAUGACCUGGCCAAAUUUUAGUUGGGGUGAUUACAUACUACUUGUCAAAAAAAAAUCACCUUCUGAAUUGAAAAGAAGAACUUUUUCUUAAUUCCCCCUGCUAAAAACUAUUUUAUAGUGAGGCUGGUUCACACGGCUGACACAUUCCACACCAGUGAUGGGUGAAUGAUCUUUACAGAUAGUGCUCUGGGAUCCUUCUGGACUAAAUGCUCUAGAUAAAUAGUAUUCUACUAAUCCAGGGGUUCUCAAACUGGGGGUCAGGACCCCUCAGGGGGUCACGAGGUUAUUACAUGGUGGGUCGCGAGCUGUCAGCCUCCACCCCAAACCCGGCUUUGCAUCCAGCAUUUAUAACGGUGUUAGAUAUAUAAAAAAAAGUGUUUUUAAUUUUUAAGGGGGGUCACACUCAGAGGCUUGGUAUGUGAAAGGGGUCACCAGUACAAAAGUUUGAGAACCACUCACUAAUCCAUAUCUUCUUUACUUUCUUACUUUCAUCCCAAGACUGCCACACCCUGUUCUUUUCACCAGAGCAGAUUAUCAAGAGACUGUGGGACUCCCAUCAGAGAUCAGAAUGAAAUCUAGCCUGACCCGUUUCAAAACACAAUGCAAAAUCCAUUUUUUCCAAACAAAGCAGGGGGGGAAAAUCACACUCUAGAUAUUAGCAGCUGAAUCAAAGACUGGGAAAAGCCAAGCUCAUUUGAAGCAAAACUUAAUAUCAUGUCAGGUGGCUACAUCCUGUGUUAUCUUGGUGGGCUCCUAGAUAGACAGCCAAGUAGGGCAGAGAUUGUCCGAUUAUCCUUCUUCAUGUUUCCAUAUUGCAUUAUAACACUUCUUCCUGUGUAACACAUGAACAUAUCUACACAUCACAUCUGGAGUAUUUUCCCUCGGAAACCUUAAAAGAGCUGACAAAACAUUAAUAAACGAGGAUGUUCAUUGCC